UCUCCGUUGGUGAACCAGCGGAGGGAUCAUUACCGAGUACUAUAACUCAUAACCCUUUGUGAACCUUUAUACCUGUUGCUUCGGCGGCGCGCCCUCCGGGGCGUGCCCGCCGGUAUCAUCAGAAUCUCUGUUUGAACCCGACGAUACAUCUGAGUGUUCUAAGCGAACUGUUAAAACUUUCAACAACGGAUCUCUUGGCUCCA
Molecule: unclassified non-coding RNA, 203 nt
Filed under: root metagenome
Description: partial contains small subunit ribosomal RNA, internal transcribed spacer 1, and 5.8S ribosomal RNA
Source: RNAcentral